RNAcentral lists this ribosomal RNA (427 nucleotides) under uncultured Acidobacteriota bacterium. RNAcentral's name for it is "bacterial SSU rRNA". It matches the Rfam family "Bacterial small subunit ribosomal RNA", at positions 958 to 1385 of the family's 1533-position model. The record is from RNAcentral. Lineage: Bacteria; Pseudomonadati; Acidobacteriota.
AACGCGAAGAACCUUACCUGGGCUUGAACCGCACAGGACCCUCCCUAGAAAUAGGGACUUCCCGCAAGGGACCUGUGUAGAGGUGCUGCAUGGCUGUCGUCAGCUCGUGCCGUGAGGUGUUGGGUUAAGUCCCGCAACGAGCGCAACCCUUACUCAUAGUUGCUACCCGCAAGGGAGAACUCUAUGAGGACUGCUCCGGAUAACGGAGAGGAAGGUGGGGAUGAGGUCAAGUCAGCAUGGCCUUUAUGUCCAGGGCUACACACGUGUUACAAUGCGCGCUACAAAGUGUCGCGAACCCGCGAGGGGGAGCUAAUCGCAAAAAAGCGCGCUCAGUUCGGAUUGCAGUCUGCAACUCGACUGCAUGAAGCCGGAAUCGCUAGUAAUGGCGUAUCAGAUCGACGCCGUGAAUACGUUCCCGGGCCUUGUA